Phacochoerus africanus (Common warthog) is the source of this 1136-nucleotide long non-coding RNA. RefSeq lists it as uncharacterized. NCBI's taxonomy places the organism in Eukaryota, Metazoa, Chordata, Mammalia, Artiodactyla, Suidae. The record is from RefSeq and is a predicted model, not a curated record. The transcript is spliced from 3 exons.
ACGGGAGCGGCCCUAGAAAAGGCAAAAAAAGACACACACACAAAAAAGAUAGCAUUUUCUUCUCUGCCCGAAGAAGUAGCUGAUGCACAGCCAAGCCUACACCUUCCACUUAUCAAUUCUAAGCAACUGCUUUUCUUUAGGGGAUGGUAUGGCUCAUGGUUCCACUUCUGGAGGUGGAAGAAGACAUUAGGAACGGGGUUGGACCACGUAAGUAGCAAUAAUAACAUGCGAUGCUCUCAGGUAAUUGUCCUCAACCCCAUCUCGCAGACGAGGAAACAGAAGCACACCUGUGGUAACCACGUGAUGUGCUGUGGCUCACGUGGCACAGCAGACCUGGGAGGUGCGACUUAUUUAGAGAUGAAGGAACUGCGAAGUCAGGCAGCCUGCCCAAGGUCACCUGGCCAGCAGGUGGCAGGGACACUGCUAAAUCAAACCCUGCAUAGCUGAUCUCCUGUAAUCCUCCCAAGACCACUAAGAGAAAGGCAUUCUCCCCACUGAAGAGAUGAAGAGACUGAAUCGGAGAAGCCCAGCGCAUCCAGUUCCCCAUCGUGGUCACCGCACAGCACCAUGUGUGGCGGGCGAGAAUCAGAUGCGUGUGGUCCGUGGAGAGAAAGAACCCAGGCUCACGUGGAAGAAACUGCUUAGGAGAAAAGAGGAAGAAAGUUGAGGAGAGGAACGUUCCCAGCCCGCUAGUAUCUCUACUUCCACACACCGCCCCCAGCUCCAGACUGAAUUGCCUGUGUAUGAUGGAGCCUGGUGACAGCAGUUCAAUGACCAGCUCUUUGGCACUGGAACCAAGAAGCUGCAGUCUGGUGAUGAGGCUUCGAGCUGCUGGAAAUGUCUCCCAGGCAAGUUGCAUAACGUGGGUGUGUUUGGGGUCUUCAUCUGUGAAAUGGGGUAAAGAUGAUACCUGCCUUACAGAGCAUCGUCGUGUGGGAUCAGUGAGUUGGCUCGCGGCAAGCCCUCGCAUUGAGCGCUCAGUCUAUUUUAGGGGUUCUCAUGAAUAGUGUUUCUAAAAUAUUUGGAAGGUCGGUCCAUUACCGAGAUAAAAAGAAAUUCUGGAAAAACAGAGCUCUUGGAAUGUAAUAUUAUACGAGAGCUCAGGAAGUGGACGCAGCCCAGGGAGGAACGAGUCA